This 839-nucleotide long non-coding RNA is filed under the name Mustela putorius furo (domestic ferret). RNAcentral describes it as "lncRNA (ENSMPUG00000025256.1)". The record is from RNAcentral. Lineage: Eukaryota; Metazoa; Chordata; Mammalia; Carnivora; Mustelidae.
GAAGCCGUAGGAUUCAUUGCAGAAACAGCCGAGAGAAACAGCUGGGGCCUUCUGGCUUGUUUUUCGAAGAGGCUCAGCUCCGAACGGGAGGGCGUGUUUAAGUCAAGGUUCUUGGGAUUCUUUCCAGAGGAGUUCCAUCUUUCUCAUAGAUUGGUGAGGGGGGAGAACUGCCUGGUAAAACCUCUGGGUCUCUUGGGACAAAGCACAGUGAGGAGCAGACCCCCAGCUUGAUCAGAGGCCUGAGAAUUUGUGACACCAACCACAUCAUUUCUUAGAAAUCACAUUUCUCCUUUGCAAGCCUUAUAAAUGUACACAACAAUGUAAAUAUACUUGCUACCCAACACUUAACCAGGUAUGUUCUUUUUUUUUUUUUUUUUUUGUCCUUUUAUAAAUUGAAGCAUCAUUGACAAGCAAUAGCCUAUGAAUUUCAGGGGUACAUCACAGCAAGUCACCAUUUUUCCACAUUAUGAAGUGACCCCCAGGAGAAGUCUCAUUGCCAUCGGUCCCAUCAUAUGUACUCUUUUGUGCGACAUUCUUUUUCCUCCAGUCCUCACUCGGGGCAGCUCCAAAUGUCUGCAAUUCCUAAAAAGAUUUUUGCAUGGUGGGGCACCCAGGCGUCCCCCCACCCCCUUUUCUUUGCUGAGACUAAGAAUCACCUGAGGGCCUUUUCAAAGUCUGGAUCCCCACGUGGCACUCUGCAUUAGUUAAACUGAAUGCCUGGGAAAGGGGAACCAGAGGCCCGUAGUGGAAACUACCAAGCCAAUGGAUAAGAGAAAAAAAAUCUUUUUGGCUUAAAAAUUUCUAGGAAGUACAAGAUAACUGUGCCAUUAAGAUAUUCU